This 292-nucleotide ribosomal RNA is filed under the name uncultured bacterium. RNAcentral's name for it is "partial 16S ribosomal RNA". It matches the Rfam family "Bacterial small subunit ribosomal RNA", at positions 505 to 796 of the family's 1533-position model. The record is from RNAcentral.
GUGUCAGCAGCCGCGGUAAUACGGGGGGAGCAAGCGUUGUUCGGAAUCACUGGGCGUAAAGGGCGUGUAGGCGGUUCGGUAAGUGGGAUGUGAAAUGCCCGGGCUCACCCCGGGACCUGCAUCUCAUACUGCUGAGCUUGAGUACAGGAGAGGGUGGGGGAAUUCCUGGUGUAGCGGUGAAAUGCGUAGAUAUCAGGAGGAACACCGGUGGCGAAGGCGCCCACCUGGCCUGCUACUGACGCUGAUGCGCGAAAGCUAGGGGAGCAAACGGGAUUAGAAACCCUUGUAGUCC